CAAUUCUUCGAGUAGCUAUAUAGUCACUCACUGAACUAUGAAAAAGAGGUUCAAGACAAUCAUAUCAAAACAGAUAAAUUGUAAUAUUGUGGCUAAUUAAAAAAUAAAGUGGGGAAACAUAUAUUGUUUUGGCAAAAGGGGUGGCGAAAAAAAUAAUUGACCCAGGGGAAACUUUGGGGCUAAAGAUACCAGAUGAACAGCAAACUCAUAAAUGGAAAAUAAACUUACAAUUCCAUGACAAAAACUGAAAAAGACAUGCAUACAAAUAAAAGUACACUAGAAACAACAUAGAAAACUAAA
RNAcentral lists this long non-coding RNA (300 nucleotides) under Mytilus galloprovincialis (Mediterranean mussel). The record is from RNAcentral. Lineage: Eukaryota; Metazoa; Mollusca; Bivalvia; Mytilida; Mytilidae.